Ictidomys tridecemlineatus (thirteen-lined ground squirrel) is the source of this 4614-nucleotide non-coding RNA. The record is from RefSeq and is a predicted model, not a curated record. Lineage: Eukaryota; Metazoa; Chordata; Mammalia; Rodentia; Sciuridae.
AUCAAAAGGUGGUUCAAUUCCCAGUUUUCCAAGGAACCUCCAUAAGCAGUUUGUAAUAUUUUUAAUGUAGGUGUCACUUGUAACUUCCCUUGAAUAUUGUCUUUCCCCUUAGGUCUCUGAGUCUUGUCCUUCCUUCUAUCAGAGUUCAAACCACCGAUCUCCUAUAUGUUACAGGUGUAGGUGGGAGAAACAGGGAGAUUUUUAAAUCAGCCAAGUUUUUUUUUCUUAAAAUGGGCUUUUGUUAGAGUGAGUCUUUUAUGAUAUGACCUUUUUUGGGUCAGACACAGCCUUUUAUUUGGAAUAUUGGAAUUAUGGAAAGGUGAUUUUUGCUGUUUUGAUUUCAAAAUAUUACCUGACCUUUGGACCCUAUACCUAAUAAUAGUGGUGUUGUCAUUGUUUACCUGGAGUAAUUCUGUGAGUGUUUAGGAUUGAAUAUGAGAAUCAAAAGAUUUACAAAGAAAUUUGUAUUUAAAAUAUUCACGAAAUAAUUUAUGAGAACAUAGUCAGUUACUUGUACUACUAUCUUUACACUCAUCACAGCCAGGCUAAUUUUAAAAAAUAUUGCCUGAAUGUAUUUUCCCCUUCUCUAAAAACCUUAAAUGGUUUGUAAUUUCCUAAAAAAUAAAGUUUAGCUCUUUUGUAUAUAAUUCCUUGUAUUCUAGUAAUGCUACUCACUAGCCUGCUUUCUAUCUGUCUUUAACACUCUCCUCAUACCUUUUCCAAUUAAUUGAGCUCUGUCUUUCUCUGAAGUUCUAUAAAAGACCUUCCUUUCCCCGAAUUUUUCACUUCUCUGAGCUUGUGUAACUUUAAUUACCUUACAGUUUAUGCUUUUCUUUGUUGUUUUUGCUCCCCCUAUAGUAUAAAAUUCCAAAGAGAGAUCGAUGUUUUACUGUUUCUUUUUACUGUCCAUCAUUACAUGGGAUAUAGAAUGCAUGUGUUCAUAAAGAACUAAUAGCAAUAAUGAUGAGGAGGAGGAUUGUGGAUUAGUUUUUAUUGUCUCCUCAAAAACUUUUAAUUUGGCUCAGGUGUUGGACUGUCUGAGUAGGUUGAUUCACUUCUAAUUAUUACCAAAAAACUACCCUAUGCUAUUUGGCUGAUAGAAUAGCCUACUGGAGAGGAGAGUAAUCCUUAGACCUUUCAACUAAGAAUAGGUACUAAAGUCUUAUUGAUUAUAGUAAAAAUGCGUGGAGUAUUUUUGUAGUGAAACUGUUGGGGACCAGAAAUCCUUAGAAAGGGAAAAUGUAACCUCCUUCCAGUAUUGUAUCUAAUCCUGCCUGGAUUAUAGUUCUGAUCAUUCUCUACCCCCUGAUUCCAACUUCUGUACCAAACAUUUCCCAUAGGAGCCAGUUCCCAGCAUCAAGAAAUCCAGCAAUAAGGAAUUGUUCUAACAACAUAGGAAUAUUUUUGUCCAUAUAUUUUCUAAAGAGUUCAACGCUUUUAUUAACUUCAAAACUUCAAUGUUACUAUAGUUUGUAGAACAAAACAAGCAUAGCAUUGUUUUUCUGUAGCUCUCUAGAAUAUAAUAUGAUCAGGCAUAUGUGGAAUAUGGACCUCCUGGGUUUGCCAAGUCCUCUCUCUUCUGAAGGAAAAUGAUGACUCCUUCCUCUUCCUAUUUAACUCCUAUAGAGGAAACACGUUAUGAUAGAAAUGUGGGCUUUGAAGAUAAGCAGUCAAAUUCUAAUUCCUGUUCUUCUAACAGAGAAGCGUUGUUGAGAUUACUUAUCCUUAUAAUUAGCUAGAUUUCUUCAUUUUAAGAAAUUCUUUCCUCAGCGGGUUUAUUGUAAAGAAUAAAUGAGUUAAGUUCUAUGAAAGAAUCUUGCACAGUGCUUAUUAAGUUUUAAUAGUUUCUUCAUAUAUGUGGCUUCCCUCCCUAGGGUGGCCAGUUUGCCCCUGUUUAUCCAGGUUUUUCCCAGCUUUAAUACUGAAAAUCCCAUGUAUUCUAGGCACCUCCUUCUUCACUCUCUUCUCGCCUCUCUCUUUUGACAUUCCUAGGCUUAUUGGCCAUUCUUUGAAUACAGAGAAGUUUCAUUUUACAAAUUAGACUUUUAAGUAAACCUGAAUAGAGUUCCUUAAGUGAUGGUGCUUAUUUAUUUUAACCUUUCAAGAUGUAUUAGGAAUUUUUUUUGCAUUACUCAGUCACUUUGUUGGUUUAGCCAGUCAGACCCUUCAUUUAUUAGUUGGCCAAAUAUGAGGACAGGAAGACUUAUGAGUUAUUUGUGAAGUGGUGGAAUUAUUGAAGGUGAUAAUUUUGAUCUUUUACCCUGUUGGUGGGUUUAGACUACCUUAAAGAACCGUGGAUCAUAUAUUUAUAAGUUUCCAUCUUGCCCUAGACAUUUUAAAAUGAACUCUUCAUAUUAAAGCCAAUUUAUUCUAUAAUACUAGACCUUUUAAAUUGAAGUUUUUAUGACUUGUCAACAUGAAUGUAUAACAUGAUGAGUUACAAAAAUAAUUCUUUGGAAUGUUUAAGGGUUUUUUUCACUUUUAUUAAAAUAUUUAAGUACUCACAUGUCAGUUUAAUAAGCCUUGCUACCUUGUUUUCUAACAAGACAGUAAGUUACAAUUAUGAUUUCUUUAUAUUUUCUCUUUCUCACCAUCUUUCUUGUCCUUAAUUAUGUUUCCUUUUUAAUCAAAAAAAAUCAAAUAAAAAACAAAUAUGGUGUUUUUGUCAAUGUCAUGGCCUUAUGUCAAGAUAUUGAAAGGUAUCUCUCCAAAUUAUUGUUCUGCUAUAGUUACUUCUCUGAAAGAAGGCCUCUUGUAUAGCUAUUUGUUGAAUUGUGUACCUACUGAAUUAGUCAAAGCUCUAGCUAAAACCAUUUUUUUCUUUACCUCUCCCCUCCCCCUCAAACUUGCUUUUGUUAUGUAUUGGCUUGCUAAUCCUUGUGUUGAGCAGUAUCAGACAUCACCUUUCUUGGGGGCAGUUAGUCCACUCUUCCGCUUUCUUUGUCAAAGGGCUCCCUUAAUAGGAGAAGUCAACAGGGAGGACAAAAAGGAUUGAAAGUUGUAUUUAAUCAGGGUCAGAGAGGUGGUGUUCAGAGUGACGGGCCCACAGGCAGGCUGGCCUUUUAUGCUUGCCGACGCAGAUGGUCCCAGAGCAUUCAGCUAAGUGAAGAGAAAGCUGCCCAGUGAAAGCUAUUGUAGGGUAGCAUCGUUACAGUUGAGAAAGGUUGCCAGGGGUAACUAGAGAGUAUCACCAGUAUCGUGUGAUCACUAGGCUGUGCCAUUGAAAAUGUUAGACUGAGGAUUGUAUUGGGUCCCUUGGCAUCUUGAUGUUCAUAUGUAAGCAGUAUUAGCUUACAUUAGUGUUUUUAAUUUAAUUUUUUUCUGUUUUUCUCCCAUUGUUCUUGCCCUACCUUUAUUAGCAUAUAAAAUCUAGAUUUAUUUAUAUUCAUAAUUUUGUAAAAACCUCCUCCUAAAAGCAUACAAUUAUUUAAUAAUUUAUGUCUAUUGCAGGCUUUAUAGUUUUAUAAACUAUAUCAAAUUUUUGUGAAAUUUGUACUUAUGAAAAUGGAAUGUAAUAUUUCUUAUUUGAAGAGCCUGAAGUUGAUUUCCCAUUGCUUUGAAACUGCCUCAGUAUAUCCCAAGUUGAUGAGUUUUUUUCUGCAUCAUUAUAAAUAACUUAUAAAAAAAUUGGUAUUUAUCAGAAAGCAGUAUAUAACAUUGAGUGAAAAGUUGUUACAAAGAACUCCCAAAUAAUUAUAAAAUCUGUCUUUAAUUUUUUACCUAAGGCAAGAAUAAAAAAUAUGCAUCCCGAAUGAGCCAGAGCCAAGUAGCAUAACAAUCAUUGGUCUUAAUUUAAGAUACUUUGAAUAUGAUUUUAAUAGUAAGUUUUAGAAUUCUUUAAUUUCAGUCUUUCUCUUGUCAUUUGUGUAUUUUUUUUAAAAAAUUACUUGUGGUAUCAUACCAAAUGUAAACUCAACAGUCUUUUAAACCACUAGAGGAAAAUGCAGAGAUUUCUGAUUAGUGUAAAAGUGAAAUCUGAAGUGUAACUCACAUACAAGGUGAAGUGAUGAUAACCUUACAAAUAAUAGUUUUAAUUUAGAUUAUCAGUCAAUGUAAUUUAAGUUACCCUUAGCUAACUAGUGCUGAUUUUGACUUACUAUAUCAUACUCACCUAUUGGUAUAAUAGUGAAGACAACAUAAUACCAUAUUGGAAGAGCAACAUUGCUGUUUUGAGAGCUAAUAAUCAACGAUGGAAUUAUUUUGUGUUAAAAGUAACUUUAUUAGUGUGUUACAAGUGGAGUCAUACUUUUAGGUCUCUUAAGAUCCCCAUUUAAAAGAACAGACUGAAUUAAUUUCAGACUUUUUUUUACAGAAAAAUCUCAAAUUGAUAUUAAAAUGAGCUACUUGUUUCUUUCUACAUAUUGAAAAAUGGUUGAGUCAUUUUUAUUUUGGACAAUUCAUAACCACUUCCAUAAGUAAAACCAUUUAUCACAAAAAAGGAAUGAAUCUGGUGAAAUUGGAACAAACAUGCCGAUGUCUACAAUCACAGUGGCUUCUAAGAGGUCUGCAGAUAUGACAGCAGACAUUUCAUUGUAAUGUUCAACAUUUAUGUUAUUUUAAAUUAGAAUGUGACUUCCCUUAUUUUCUGAAAAAUAAAUAAAAGAAUAAUAACUA